RNAcentral lists this small nuclear RNA (86 nucleotides) under Myotis davidii. Lineage: Eukaryota; Metazoa; Chordata; Mammalia; Chiroptera; Vespertilionidae. The record is from RNAcentral.
GUGCCUGCUUCUGCAGCACAUACACCAAAAUUGGAACGAUACAGAGAAGGUUAGCGUGGCCCCUGCGCAAGGAUGACACGCAAAUU